CACCUAUCUCUGCUGGCAAAGAGCUUUUUUCUCUUGCUUAUCAAACUUUCACUCCAACCUCACCUUUGUGUUCAUGCUCCUUAAUCUCCUUAGAGGUAGAAAAAAGAACUCUGGGUGUGAUCUCAGACUACGAGAUACUGUUACAUCUUGGUGCACUGCUGAGACUACAGCACUUGGUUCCUAUAAGUUUGACUGACUAAAUAUUUUAUAUAAGUGUAAUUAUACGAUUUCCUUUUUGACUGUCUUGUUUUACUUUACCGAAUGUUUUCAAGAUUUGUCCUUAUUGUAGUACUUUUCAAGAUUUCCUUAUUUUUAAGGCUGAAUGCUAUCCCAGUGAAUAUACGUGCCCUGUUUGUUGAAUCUACUCAUCCUUAAAGUGGAAGAGAGACUAUCCCUGUCUUUACACCCGGUGGCAUUUCCAACAGUAAGCUGGGAGAUUCUUCUUGAAAUCAGCUCUCAAACAAAUAAAAAACAGACCUGGGAAAUGUGCUACACUCAUUCUGCUGAAGAAAUCGGUAAGUAAUAAUUUUUAGCAAAUGAAAUAUAUUACUACUUAAUUGUAUUCAAAAUCCACCAACUUAAUGUGUUUAUAAAUAUUUUCAUACAUUUGAAGCUCCACUGACAAAACAUAAUUUACAGUUAAUGAAAAAGUGAAGUGAAAAUAAAUACAAUAAUAUUUUCAAACUGACAAAAUUAGAAGGUGACAAUGCCAAUUGAAACACAGACAUAUCUGACCCAAGGGUCAAGUCAAGCCAUUCUAUGACUUGGGAUAUUUUCCCUGCUCCUAUCUUGUUCAGUGAAGUGGGUCAUGAGCGUCCUACCAGGAGCCGCUACGCUGUGCUCCACUGUGUCUGUGAGGGGCAUUUUACUUUGCGGAUUUUUGCACUGCCUCACUGGGUUGGGUCUCUUUGUCUUUUGAAACAUUCUCUCUCCCUUCACCAAUCUGAGAAUAUUUUUUCCUCAGUAUCAGCAUCCAGUUGCCUGGACUGCAGUGUGUCUCUAAGGAAUGGAAACCAAGCGUUGGGGGCAAGAAUGUUUUCUAAGACCCCGAACUCUAGAUUUGCGAUGCGGCAAAUCCUGAAGCGUACAUGGAUCUCUCUCACAACUAAAGUAUCCCUCACCCUUAUCCAGCUCUUCUUACCCCUGGCGCGAGAGAAUCACCUGUGGGGAGGAAAACUUUCAAAAUCCCUUAAACCCAAGUUGUAACCGAUCAAUUAAAUCAGAAUCCUUGGAGUUGGAUCUGAAAAAAACACGGUUUAAAGUUGUGCAGGUGAUUACAAUGUGUAGGCAAGCCACAAACCAUGGGUUUAACCAGCAACUUUUGUUAGAAAUGAUGUCUCAAAUGAAUGUAAAAAUGUUUGCUGCUGAAUUGUGACCUUUCAAUUUUACUUGCUUUUCCUACAAAGUAUAUUUUGCAGACCCAGGCAGUGCUGCUCACUCUAUUCCUGAUUCAUCGAGUACCGUGUGUGCUCAGUGCAUCCUGUGCACGAGUCACUGUGCUGUGUGCCCUGGCCUGGGUGAGCAUCAUUCUUCGGGGAGAACCUUGCUGAAAACAAAGCUGCAUUCCAAAAAGUUAAAACCAUGCUACUUACUGUGUUGAGGUUAAAAUUAAAAGACCUAGGGGACUCAUCCAAAAGUUAAAACAUAAAUAAAUAACUUGGAACAUUAAUAUACACCUGAUGAUGUCCUGAGUGAACAUGCCCCACUUUAAAACAAAACAAAACAUUACUAUUAUUCUAAAAUAUUAAUUUAGGGUUUUUAUGCAAAUAUGUACAAUUUAAAUUUGUAUUGAUAUAUAACAUGCAUACCGCAAUAUAGGCCCAAAACAUUUAUGGAAGGCUUGAUGAGUUAUUACAAAAUAAAUACACUUGUGUAUCUAAGAAUCAGAUUUGUUCAUGCUCUUGACACUUUCUCCUUCCAAAAGGUAACCAAGACUUUAAGAGAUAAGUGCAGAUAAACUUUGUCAUUUUGUACAAGUGUUUUAUUACAGAACAUUAAAAACGUAUACACGAGACAAAAAAAGUAUAACAGACCAGUCACUCAGCUUUAACAGCUACUAUUCAUGUGCCAUUUUUGUGUCACUUAUACUUCCAGCCAUUCCCCCACCAAUUUCAUUAUUUUUUAGGCUUUUUGGAUAAAAUGUAUAUUCAUUGCAAGGUACAAUGUGAACUGUAAAUAAUAGAGAGAUGGGGUUUCACCAUGUUGGCCAGGCUGACCUUGAACUCCUCACCUCAGGCGAUCCAACCGCUUCAGCUUCCCAAAGUGCUGGGAUUACAGGCAUGAGCCAAUAUACUCGGCCUGAGAAUUCAUAUUUCUAACAAAGUACAAAUCCAUAGGUCACAUGACAACUGCAAUAUCUAUCUACAGUAGAUACAAUUUGAUGAAUAAAAUGAAAGGCAAUUGACCUAAGGUGAAAAAAAAAAUCAAAGGAAUGCUAUUACGUGCUAUCUGUAGGAGCAUUUGGUUAAGAAUAACAAACAUACCAAUUUUAUCGUUUUAAUAACCGAAAUUGUCAAAAUUUCUAGUUUUUCUUUCAUAGAAAUGCUCUCUGCAAGAAAAAAUUUUCAUAUAGUGAGAGCAAAAAUGGCAACCAUUUGCAAGUAAAUGUCUUAUGAAAUUAAGUAGCAGAUACCAACCUCACGACCUUCAGAUAGUUAACCCAAACUCAAUCAUUUACAUAGCAAGUGCAGAUAAUUUUCAUAGCUUCCUAUUAAAAUUAUAUUUGAAAACCCUUACAAAUUGUGACUGUUUUCAAACAAAGUUCACUAACUAAAAUUUUGUAUAUGACAUAUGAUAAAUUCCACUUCAAGUCACCUUACAUUUAUUUAAUUUUAUUAGGCAGUGUCUGCCUAUCACCCAGUAAUACUUGGGGAUUCUCCCUCCAUUUGCACAGGCAUCCUAGCUGGGGAAACAGGGAUUCAAAAGACCCAGGCUGUUCCCUACAUAUAUUUCCUCCUCAGACAUCAGUUCAUCAGUCAAUCAAGUCAUGUGAGAGUGGAUGCCGUGUAUUCCCUAUUAAUCUUGGGCACUCUCCUCCAAGGAGGAAAAGGCCAGGAGGUCCUGUUAGAGGAUGUACUCUGAGAGGCCGGGAUCCCUAAGGUGUGAGAGUUCUAACCAGCAGGUGUAGACUUUUCAGGAGUGAGGAAUGAGGCAGGUAUUCCAAACCUGAAGCUUCAUCACCUUUUGUUUCAUCUCAAGACAACUCUGAGGGGCUGUUUUGGAACGUGUCUGGAAGGUGAACAUUGAAGAAGAGUGUAGGCUUUGAUGUGACUCAGAUAAGAUCCUUCAGGGGAGGCAGGAAUUUAAUGCCCAGAAUCUGGGCUGGUAUCUUUGAGGUCAGUAGGUUGCCUUUUGGUAUCCAAGUCCAUUGUUACUAGGUUGAAGGCUGGAGAUUCUAAAUGGCUUCCAGACCACCUCUCUGAUUCUCUUUUGGAGAUGGGGUCUGAAAAAGACAAUGUCAGUAUUUUUGGGAAAUUCUGGAAAGUCUGUUUGGAAACCUGUGAAGACCUCUUGCUUAGUGCCUAAAUGCUCAAUGUGCAGCUCUAGCCAUGUAGAUGUUUGGUAGGUACAGAGCUGGGUUUGCAUUUAUAUCAGCAAAACCUAUGGCAGAGCUGAAGAGGUAAUCAGGACAAAGUGUCUUGGUCGCAGGCCAGAGAACAUCUUAAAAGCAAACUUCUAGCCUGCUGACUCUUGGCAAUGAGUGUUGGGUCCUGGCCAAAGUGCCUUGAAUGCAGCAUGAAGCCAAUCCAUAAAUCCAACUUCUAAUGGAGAAAUGUUAAUAUUUUUUCAGUUGAAUCAAUCCGGGUGAAAUUACCAUGCUAUUGGUUUGUUUACUUUUUAUUAUUUCAUAUAAAAUCUAA
Molecule: long non-coding RNA, 3860 nt
Organism: Pongo pygmaeus (Bornean orangutan)
Lineage: Eukaryota; Metazoa; Chordata; Mammalia; Primates; Hominidae
Exons: 3
Source: RefSeq, a predicted model, not a curated record